GUAAUGCGUAGGAAUCUACCUAGUAGUAUGGAAUAGCCAUUAGAAAUGAUGGGUAAUACUGUAUAAUCCCUGCGGGGGAAAGAUUUAUCGCUAUUAGAUGAGCCUACGUUAGAUUAGCUAGUUGGUUAGGUAAUGGCUUACCAAGGCUAUGAUCUAUAGCUGGUCUGAGAGGACGAUCAGCCACACUGGAACUGAGAUACGGUCCAGACUCCUACGGGAGGCAGCAGUGGGGAAUAUUGGACAAUGGGCGAAAGCCUGAUCCAGCUAUGCCGCGUGAGUGAAGAAGGCCUUCGGGUUGUAUAGCUCUUUCAAUAGGGAAGAUAA
This 324-nucleotide ribosomal RNA is filed under the name Ehrlichia sp. Its description in RNAcentral is "bacterial SSU rRNA". It matches the Rfam family "Bacterial small subunit ribosomal RNA", at positions 110 to 451 of the family's 1533-position model. The record is from RNAcentral. Lineage: Bacteria; Pseudomonadati; Pseudomonadota; Alphaproteobacteria; Rickettsiales; Anaplasmataceae.